Molecule: unclassified non-coding RNA, 226 nt
Filed under: Hevea brasiliensis (rubber tree)
Lineage: Eukaryota; Viridiplantae; Streptophyta; Magnoliopsida; Malpighiales; Euphorbiaceae
Source: RNAcentral
AUGCUAGGGAGGCUAUCAGCAUGGCUGAAGCGUCAUAUAGAUUAUUCGAGGAAAAGCAAGUUCAAAGAAAAGAAAAGGAGGAAAUUUUUGCAAAGCAAAAAGAAGAGAUUGAGGAAUUGAAGAUUCAGCACGACCUGUGCCUAAACAAACUUCAGAUGAUCCAGGAGAAGAAGCCUGUACUAGAAAGUCAAAUAACUGAAUCCUCCUGUGCAGGGAAGGAGUUAGA